Molecule: transfer RNA, 74 nt
Filed under: Staphylococcus coagulans
Lineage: Bacteria; Bacillati; Bacillota; Bacilli; Caryophanales; Staphylococcaceae
Description: tRNA-Pro
Rfam family: tRNA
About the family: Transfer RNA (tRNA) molecules are approximately 80 nucleotides in length. Their secondary structure includes four short double-helical elements and three loops (D, anti-codon, and T loops).
Source: RNAcentral
CGGGAAGUAGCUCAGCUUGGUAGAGCACUUGGUUUGGGACCAAGGGAUCGCAGGUUCAAAUCCUGUCUUCCCGA